Molecule: ribosomal RNA, 431 nt
Filed under: uncultured bacterium
Lineage: Bacteria
Description: partial 16S ribosomal RNA
Rfam family: Bacterial small subunit ribosomal RNA
Source: RNAcentral
ACGAACGCUGGCGGCAGGCCUCACCCCUGCCCGUCGAGCGGACCUUUCGGGGUCAGCGGCGGACGGGUGAGUCACGCGUGGGAAUAUGCCCUUCUCUACGGAAUAGUCCUGGGAAACUGGGGGUAAUACCGUAUACGCCCUUUGGGGGAAAGAUUUAUCGGGGAAGGAUUAGCCCGCGUUGGAUUAGGUAGUUGGUGGGGUAAUGGCCUACCAAGCCGACGAUCCAUAGCUGGUUUGAGAGGAUGAUCAGCCACACUGGGACUGAGACACGGCCCAGACUCCUACGGGAGGCAGCAGUGGGGAAUCUUAGACAAUGGGGGCAACCCUGAUCUAGCCAGGCCGCGGGAGUGAUGAAGGCCUUAGGGUUGUAAAGCUCUUUCAGCUGGGAAGAUAAUGACGGGACCAGCAGAAGAAGCCCCGGCUAACUCCGU